GGAGAGGUGACCGAGUGGUCGAAGGUGCACGACUGGAAAUCGUGUGUACCAGCGAUGGUACCGCGGGUUCGAAUCCCGCCCUCUCCG
Molecule: transfer RNA, 87 nt
Filed under: Sandaracinaceae bacterium
Lineage: Bacteria; Pseudomonadati; Myxococcota; Polyangiales; Sandaracinaceae
Also listed under: 2 other names
Description: tRNA-Ser
Rfam family: tRNA
About the family: Transfer RNA (tRNA) molecules are approximately 80 nucleotides in length. Their secondary structure includes four short double-helical elements and three loops (D, anti-codon, and T loops).
Source: RNAcentral